Pseudomonas fluorescens is the source of this 89-nucleotide non-coding RNA. NCBI's taxonomy places the organism in Bacteria, Pseudomonadati, Pseudomonadota, Gammaproteobacteria, Pseudomonadales, Pseudomonadaceae. The record is from Rfam.
CUUGAUGGUGGCUGUGCGCAGGGCGCCUUCGGGUGCGCCGGGUUUGUGUGGGAUACCGGUCUACUAACCUGCGUACAGCUGCCACCCUC